CGUUAAUAUAUGACCCGAUUAGCAGCUUCCGGGAAACCAAAGUUUUUCGUUUCCGGGGGAAGUAUGGUUGCAAAGCUGAAACUUAAAGGAAUUGACGGAAGGGCACCACCAGGAGUGGAGCCUGCGGCUUAAUUUGACUCAACACGGGAAAACUCACCCGGCCCGGACACCGUAAGGAUUGACAGACUGAGAGCUCUUUCUUAAUUCGGUGGGUGGUGGUGCAUGGCCGUUCUUAGUUGGUGGAGCGAUUUGUCUGGUUAAUUCCGAUAACGAACGAGACUCUGGCCUAUUAAAUAGACGAUAUAUUUAAAAGUAUAUCGCGCUUCUUAGAGGGACAAGCGGCGUCUAGCCGCAUGAAAUAGAGCAAUAACAGGUCUGUGAUGCCCUUAGAUGUCCGGGGCUGCACGCGCGCUACACUGAAAGAAUCAGUGUGCGUUACGCCUAGUUCGGAAGAACCGGGUAACCCAAGUAAAUUCUUUCGUGCUUGGGAUAGGGAAUUGCAAUUAUUUCCCUUAAACGAGGAAUUCCCAGUAAAUGCGGGUCAUAAGCUCGCGUUGAUUACG
RNAcentral lists this ribosomal RNA (563 nucleotides) under Aporcelaimellus sp. MCt4. Its description in RNAcentral is "SSU rRNA". It matches the Rfam family "Eukaryotic small subunit ribosomal RNA", at positions 1061 to 1649 of the family's 1831-position model. The record is from RNAcentral. Lineage: Eukaryota; Metazoa; Nematoda; Enoplea; Dorylaimida; Aporcelaimidae.